UGAUAGCUCCCGCAGUCAAUGGCACACUGAACGUGCUUAAAGCAUGUGUUGAAGCUAAUAUUAAGCGUGUCGUUUAUGUGUCCUCAGUAGCUGCGGUUAGCCUUAACCCUCUGUGGACAAAGAAUCAAGUGCUGGAUGAGACAUGUUGGUCUGACCAAGAAUACUGCCGAAAGACAGAGAAUUGGUACUGUCUAUCAAAGACACAGGCAGAGAGUGAAGCUUUCGAGUUUGCAAAGAGAUCUGGACUCGAUCUUGUCAGCAUCUGUCCUACCCUUGUCCUGGGGCCAAUCCUGCAGCCCACUGUAAAUGCCAGUACCCUAGUUCUCGUCAAGCUUCUGAAA
This is a long non-coding RNA of Tarenaya hassleriana, 341 nucleotides long. RefSeq lists it as uncharacterized. The transcript has 3 exons. The record is from RefSeq and is a predicted model, not a curated record. Lineage: Eukaryota; Viridiplantae; Streptophyta; Magnoliopsida; Brassicales; Cleomaceae.